This 468-nucleotide ribosomal RNA is filed under the name uncultured bacterium. Its description in RNAcentral is "partial 16S ribosomal RNA". It matches the Rfam family "Bacterial small subunit ribosomal RNA", at positions 28 to 507 of the family's 1533-position model. The record is from RNAcentral.
GACGAACGCUGGCGGCGUGCUUAACACAUGCAAGUCGAACGGAAAGGCCCUGCUUUUGUGGGGUGCUCGAGUGGCGAACGGGUGAGUAACACGUGAGUAACCUGCCCUUGACUUUGGGAUAACUUCAGGAAAAUGGGGCUAAUACCGGAUAGGAGCUCCUGCUGCAUGGUGGGGGUUGGAAAGUUUCGGCGGUUGGGGAUGUACUCGCGGCUUAUCAGCUUGUUGGUGGGGUAGUGGCUUACCAAGGCGUUGACGGGUAGCCGGCCUGAGAGGGUGACCGGCCACAUUGGGACUGAGAUACGGCCCAGACUCCUACGGGAGGCAGCAGUGGGGAAUAUUGCACAAUGGGCGGAAGCCGGAUGCAGCAACUCCGCGUGCGGGAUGACGGCCUUCGGGUUGUAACCCGCUUUCGCCUGUGACGAAGCGUGAGUGACGGUAAUGGGUAAAGAAGCACCGGCUAACUACGUG